UGUGCGCGUGAACUGCAGAGUGAAAGUCUACUCGCCCUUGUGAACGCGCACACAAGAGUGCGCGUGCCAGGGUUCUUACGCAUGCGUGUAUUUGGGAACGCGCAUAGUCUGACAAAAGUUGGUGGUAAAACUCGGUCGCAAGAUUAAUGGGUUUCUUUUGAGCAUCACGGCUGGUGGAUCUUAUAUGGUGAGUUUUUUUAUGUGGUGUGGCUCACAAUCCAAUUUGAGUCGGAAAAAUACGUCGAAGAAAGUAGGCGGCGAGCAUUUUCUAUUUCAUAGCUUAUAGGCUAUAAAUACAUAUAGGCCUAUAUAAAAUAUAAUUUUUUUAAAAAAGAAUUAUCAGUUAGCGAGCAUGUGGACAAACUGUUCACAAAAUGCGCAAAUAAACUAGCCCGUCCCUGAGAAUGAGGCGUUCCUCUUCGACUUUUCUCGAUCAAUCACGCGGACAGUGGCUCCUUUUGAUUAAACCCCAAAUUGUCAUUGGACAGAGGUAAUCAUGUGACAAGCAAUACGGUCCAAUUUCAACCUUGUCUCCAUGAAAGCAGUUUAAUGGUAUCGCGGUCCCCAUACGGCCGUAAUCAGCAAAAUAGUGAUUUUUUUUUACACCGGGCACAAUAUUUCAUUAUUUCUUCGUAGGUCCCAAAUCUGUGCGCGGGGAAUUCCUUUAAGACUCGGAGGAGAUGAAUUACGAAUUCGAGCGAGAGACGGGCUUUAUCAAUAGUCAGCCGUCGCUCGCUGAGUGCCUGACAUCUUUUCCCCCUGUCGCUGAUGCAUUUCAAAGUUCAUCAAUCAAGAGCUCGACGCUUUCACGCUCGACACUGAUUCCUCCUCCUUUCGAGCAGACCAUUCCCAGGCUGAACCCGGGCAGCCACCCUCGCCACAGCCGACCCAAGCAGAACCCGAACGGCGUGUGCCCGCUGCCCGCCGCCUCGUUACCCCCGGAGUACCCGUGGAUGAAGGAGAAAAAAGCUUCAAAGAAAAACCAGACUUCAGCUGCAGCCACAACCGACCCUGCACCACUCUACUUCUCUCCUGAAGGUUCGCCGGAGGUUUCUGACGGUGGCGGAGGUGGCGGCGGCACACGCAGACUGAGGACGGCCUACACCAACACACAGCUCCUGGAGCUCGAGAAGGAGUUCCACUUCAACAAGUACCUGUGCCGACCACGCAGGGUGGAGAUCGCCGCGUUGCUGGACCUCACGGAGAGGCAAGUAAAAGUGUGGUUUCAGAACCGGCGCAUGAAGCAUAAGCGCCAGACGCAGUGCAAGGAGAACCAGAACGGCGAGACGAGAGCUGUGAGCCUGGAGGAAAACACCGCUCAUGGCAAGGUUUUUUACGAACAAUCGGGAACGAACUCCGUUUCCGGGGCUCUCUUGGAGAACGAGAGUUACGCGUUCCAGCAGAACACUACGCAGAAUGGACACAAUGGAGAGUCGGCGAGCUCUACUGUUUCGCCCCUGAACAGUAAUGACAAAAAUCUGAAACAUUUUCCCAACCAGUCACCCACUGUUCCCGUGUGCGCCUCUACAAUGGCUGUGGACGGCGCAGCUGCUCGGGACAAUAGCACUCCUCCAGGCCUGGACGGCCCCAUGCACGACUUUCACGUUUUCUCCACAGAUUCCUGCCUGCAUCUCUCAGAUGCCAUCUCUCCGAGUGUGUCUGAGACGGUGGACAGCCCCAUGGGUUUAGUCACGGACUCAUUUGAUUUCUUCUCGGAGACGCUCACGACGAUCGACUUACAACACUUGAACUACUAACAGUUUUUGAGCACAAGGAAGCCCCGUUAUCUUUCUCUACGUUGACGGAUGGGGCAACAAUUUCCUGGUAUGCAGCAAAAUUCAUGGUACAACUAAUCCUCCCAAGAGUUCCUGGACCACGAGCCACACAGCAGAGCCUACACAUCAAUGAUCCACCACCAUAUUUCACAGUGAGUUUGGGGGAUUUUCCUUGUAUGUGGCCAUCUUUUUGUCUUCAAACAUUCUGAUGGUGUGCCUCACCAAAUGUUUGAUUUAUAUCUCAUCUGACCAGAACACAAUUUAAAUAAAAACAAUUUAUUAAGCUUGGUGAGGUUGAAUUUUGUGGUUUCAUUUCUGCAAACAUUUCCAAUGUUAGAACUUAACACUACAAAAAUAAACAAAUAAAUAAAUAAAGUGUGCAAUUUUGAAACUGAAACUCUUCUUCCCCUCCCUGCUAGGCUCAUGGGUCAAAUGGGCCAAUUCCUGACAAAUGUCCAACUGUUCUGGACUAAUUAUCUUUCUAUUAUAGCACAGGUCAUUCCUAAUGAUAUUUUAACUUCUUGUGUUUUUUUUCAUCCAUUAACUUAAUAUCCACUAUGUUUUAAAAAUAUAAGUCAGAGGUAUCUUUUGUUUCAAUUUUAUUGUUUGUUCUCCAUAGUGUUGCAUAACAAAUGGAUUUUAUUUGUGUGUGACCUCAUAUUUAUAUGUCAGGAAAACAAGAAAAUACAUGAUGGAUGACAACUGGUGAAUUGAAAUAGUUCUCAUAUAAAUUUUUGCACAUA
This is an RNA transcript of Ictalurus furcatus (blue catfish), 2518 nucleotides long. It is a transcript of the gene named homeobox A2b, with no coding region annotated. NCBI's taxonomy places the organism in Eukaryota, Metazoa, Chordata, Actinopteri, Siluriformes, Ictaluridae. The record is from RefSeq and is a predicted model, not a curated record. The transcript is spliced from 3 exons.